CGGAUUGGAGUCUGNAACCCGACUCCAUGAAGCUGGAUUCGCUAGUAAUCGCGCAUCAGCCACGGCGCGGUGAAUACGUUCCCGGGCCUUGUACACACCGCCCGUCAAGCCAUGGGAGCCGGGGGUACCUGAAGUGCGUGACCGCAAGGAGCGCCCUAAGGUAAAACCGGUGACUGGGGCUAAGUCGUAACAAGGUAAC
RNAcentral lists this ribosomal RNA (199 nucleotides) under uncultured bacterium. Its description in RNAcentral is "partial 16S ribosomal RNA". It matches the Rfam family "Bacterial small subunit ribosomal RNA", at positions 1294 to 1500 of the family's 1533-position model. The record is from RNAcentral.